Molecule: ribosomal RNA, 759 nt
Filed under: uncultured Enterobacteriaceae bacterium
Lineage: Bacteria; Pseudomonadati; Pseudomonadota; Gammaproteobacteria; Enterobacterales; Enterobacteriaceae
Description: bacterial SSU rRNA
Rfam family: Bacterial small subunit ribosomal RNA
Source: RNAcentral
AUUGAACGCUGGCGGCAGGCCUAACACAUGCAAGUCGAGCGGUAGCACAGGAGAGCUUGCUCUCUGGGUGACGAGCGGCGGACGGGUGAGUAAUGUCUGGGAAACUGCCUGAUGGAGGGGGAUAACUACUGGAAACGGUAGCUAAUACCGCAUGACCUCGCAAGAGCAAAGUGGGGGACCUUCGGGCCUCACGCCAUCGGAUGUGCCCAGAUGGGAUUAGCUAGUAGGUGAGGUAAUGGCUCACCUAGGCGACGAUCCCUAGCUGGUCUGAGAGGAUGACCAGCCACACUGGAACUGAGACACGGUCCAGACUCCUACGGGAGGCAGCAGUGGGGAAUAUUGCACAAUGGGCGCAAGCCUGAUGCAGCCAUGCCGCGUGUGUGAAGAAGGCCUUCGGGUUGUAAAGCACUUUCAGCGGGGAGGAAGGGAGUAAAGUUAAUACCUUUGCUCAUUGACGUUACCCGCAGAAGAAGCACCGGCUAACUCCGUGCCAGCAGCCGCGGUAAUACGGAGGGUGCAAGCGUUAAUCGGAAUUACUGGGCGUAAAGCGCACGCAGGCGGUUUGUUAAGUCAGAUGUGAAAUCCCCGGGCUCAACCUGGGAACUGCAUCUGAUACUGGCAAGCUUGAGUCUCGUAGAGGGGGGUAGAAUUCCAGGUGUAGCGGUGAAAUGCGUAGAGAUCUGGAGGAAUACCGGUGGCGAAGGCGGCCCCCUGGACAAAGACUGACGCUCAGGUGCGAAAGCGUGGGGAGCAAACAGG